UACGUAGGGGGCAAGCGUUGUCCGGAUUUAUUGGGCGUAAAGAGCGUGUAGGCGGCUGGGUAGGUCCGCUGUGAAAACUCGAGGCUCAACCUCGAGACGCCGAUGGAAACCCUCCAGCUAGAGUCCGGAAGAGGAGAGUGGAAUUCCUGGUGUAGCGGUGAAAUGCGCAGAUAUCAGGAAGAACACCCGUGGCUAAGGCGGCUCUCUAGUACGGUACUGACGCUGAGACGCGAAAGCGUGGGGAGCGAACAGG
RNAcentral lists this ribosomal RNA (253 nucleotides) under uncultured bacterium. RNAcentral's name for it is "partial 16S ribosomal RNA". It matches the Rfam family "Bacterial small subunit ribosomal RNA", at positions 524 to 776 of the family's 1533-position model. The record is from RNAcentral.